RNAcentral lists this ribosomal RNA (265 nucleotides) under uncultured archaeon. RNAcentral describes it as "partial 16S ribosomal RNA". It matches the Rfam family "Archaeal small subunit ribosomal RNA", at positions 717 to 982 of the family's 1478-position model. The record is from RNAcentral.
ACACGACUACAUUAGAUACCCCCGUAGUCCUAGCCGUAAACGAUACUCGCUAGGUGUCGGCCACGGUGCGACCGUUGUCGGUGCCGUAGGGAAGCCGUGAAGCGAGCCACCUGGGAAGUACGGCCGCAAGGCUGAAACUUAAAGGAAUUGGCGGGGGAGCACAACAACGGGUGGAGCUUGCGGUUUAAUUGGAUUCAACGCCGGAAAUCUUACCGGGACCGACAGCAACAUGAAGGCCAAUCUGAAGACUUUGCCGGAUUAGCUG